GCCUACGGACGGCAGCAGUAGGGAAUAUUGCUCAAUGGGGGAAACCCUGAAGCAGCAACGCCGCGUGGAGGAUGAAGGUUUUCGGAUUGUAAACUCCUUUUGUUAGAGAAGAUAAUGACGGUAUCUAACGAAUAAGCACCGGCUAACUCCGUGCCAGCAGCCGCGGUAAUACGGAGGGUGCAAGCGUUACUCGGAAUCACUGGGCGUAAAGAGCGCGAAGGCGGGCUAGCAAGUCAAAUGUGAAAUCCUAUGGCUUAACCAUCGAACUGCAUAUACAAC
Molecule: ribosomal RNA, 279 nt
Filed under: uncultured bacterium
Lineage: Bacteria
Description: partial 16S ribosomal RNA
Rfam family: Bacterial small subunit ribosomal RNA
Source: RNAcentral